GAUUAUCGAAGGACAGAGACCUUAAUUCAUAAUC
Aquimarina atlantica is the source of this 34-nucleotide regulatory RNA element. It matches the Rfam family "S4-Flavobacteria ribosomal protein leader". NCBI's taxonomy places the organism in Bacteria, Pseudomonadati, Bacteroidota, Flavobacteriia, Flavobacteriales, Flavobacteriaceae. The record is from Rfam.